UAUACAAUAAAUAAAAAUUAACGAAAAUAUUAAUAUAAAUACAACAUAUUAAGGAACGAAAUAAUAAGCGACAACGCGUGACGUCACGAAGCAACAUGUCGAAUCUUGUUCACAGUGUUCUUCGUUAAGACGCACAUCACUCACAUCAGUGUUUCAGUGUAUUAAUCUUUGUGUCUAAUAUAGUGUAAUAUAUCUAAUAUAGUGUAAUAUAUCUAAUAUAGUAUAUAUCAGUGUAUAAUUAUAUUUUUAUAUAACUUAAAAGUUAUUUGUUAAAUAAGUUCAAUACAAAAACUGAACCAUAAUAAUUUUGUGUUAAACAAAAAAAAGUGUACUAUAAACUUCUCUCUAGACGUUCACUCGGUGUGUAUUGUGUACAAAAUACGAACUUGUGGACUAAUUUAGCUAGAUAAAAAUUUGUGUUGUGUGUAAAGCUUCGUUUUUAUGUUUAAUUACGUAAAACAUUUAAGAUGGCUUUUAUGUAUGCAUUAGUUUUAUUUUUAAAUGAUUCGUCCAAUAAAGAAAUUGAUAUAUUGAAUAUCGUGGUACCGGGUGUAAAUAGCCUGAAUCAUUGUUAUAAAGUACUAAGUAUUGUAAAUUAUUACAAACGAUAGUUAAACAUUGUGAAGGGUCUGACCGACAUGGCCAACGUUUUAUGUUCAAAUAAGUGGCACAGCAGAAACAAUGGAAGAGGCAGAGGAAAAAUUAAUAAGAUUAAAAAGAACCCCUAUUCUUCUCUACCAAUAAUGAGUAGUCUGCUAAAGCAAAAGCGGCUGCUGUUGAAAAAACUUUCAAAUUAAAAGCAUUAGCAAAGGAUUGAUUAAAAAUAGAUAAUAUAUUUAGCCAAAUAGCUUUAGAGUUAACUGACGAACCCACUGAAAUUGCAGGUAAUAUUUAUUAUUUAAAAUGUAAAUAUUGUUGAUUAAUUUCUAAUAAUUUUUUUACUAAUGUUUUUUUUUUACAAGGCAUAUAUAUUAAUUGAUAUAAAUUUAUUUUUAAUCGUUAAUUUUUAUACUAUCAAUUAAGUUAUAAUACUGAAAUUUUAUUUCAAAUUUUUUCAUUCCACUAGAACCCAAGAAAUAAAAGCCAUAAAAAUGUAAUCAAAAAAUUGUGAAGAAACAAGCCUAAAAACAUAGUCUCGAAUGGUCAUCUACAUCAAUAGUGUCUUCGAUAUCUUCAUCACCACCGUCAUUGUUAUGUAAACCUACGAAAAUAAAUAAUGAAACUAAAAAAAACGAAUUAAUGACAGUACUAACUACAUAGUUGGCUCAAAAAAAAGGAAAAAAAUUAGUCAUCAUAAAUCUCAAACAGAAGCUGAAAUGAAUAUAUUAGCAGCUAGAUCAUCAUCAACAAAAAAUACUGUAUCCAGUGGUAAGAAAAAAAUAUAUAUUGUUUUUAAUUUAUUAGGAUAUCUAUACUUAUUAUAAUUAUUUACAAAAUCAUAAUAUAGAUUCCAUUCUGAAAUUGUGGAGUGUUGUAAUCGUGAUAAUAUUUAUCUAUCAAUAUUUAUAUUUACAUCAGUGUCACAAUUUUGAAAUUUAAAUCAUUGUGUUAGUUAAAAAAAAAUAAUAUAUAAUUUAUUUUCAACAGAUUCUUUGCUGGAAUGUAUCAAACAUAAUUAUAACAGUCUAUCAAAACAAUUAGCAAAUUUAAAAGGCCAUAUCUGCUGACGUUCCCAAAUCCUAUCUGAAAUAAAAAAAAUAACAGUACUCAGCUGUUAGAUUUCAGUUUAUUAACAGAUCCUGAAGGAAAUCCAGUGGUCCAAAAAUUAGAAUUUCCGCUAUCAACAAUGGAAGAUAUUAUUUUGAUAAAUUCAAUGAAAAAUUAAAAGGCCAAAAAUAUAAAAAUAAAAUGGUAAGUUUUUAAUAAACUAUAUUCUCAUAUACAAAUAUAUGAAAGAUCUAAUAUAGUUGCUCUAUCUGACAAUAUUGAAAUUGUCAUAUUUGAUAAAAUGCUAAUCAUAAUAAUUAAUUAAUCAUACAAAUAAUUGUAACAAAUUUUCUUUUCCAGAAUAAACGUAUAUACUUUUCUCUCGAUGGAAAAAAUACUUUUACCCGUAAUAUGGGAAAUAUUACUCGUGUUUAUAUAUCAAGAGAUGUCAUAUGUAGCAGUUAGAGCAACUUCAAAAAAAGUUUUCAAAGAUACGACUUUUUCACUUCUAUAAAAAGUAUGUUAAUCAUUAUAUAGUGCAGGAGGAUUACUAUCAUUGAUACCUAAUUAAUUAUUUCUUAAUUAUAUGUUAUUAUUUUAUACCUAAUUUUUAUACCUAAUUUUUAAAAUCUUUUUCUUUUUCCUGUGUAAAAUAUUUUGCCAAGCAAACAAAAAGAAAAAUUAAUUCAUAAUAUUUAAUAACAAUCAUUAUUAUUAUUAUUAACUAUAACAUAAAAAUAAUUGAUAUUGAUAUUUAAAACAAAAAUAAAUAAUACAUUUGAAAAAAUAAAUCGAAAUAAUUUUUUUUUUCAAUCGGAUAAGUUUUAUUUCUGUUUAAGUGCACAAUAAAGUGUAUUGUUAUGUUAUGUUAACUUAAAUAUAUAUAAUAUGUUAUUUUAAAUAUACAUAGUAUGUUAAGUAAUAUAAUAUCAUUUCUUUUUUUUUUUUUUUUGACGUGACGUCUAAUAAAUCGAUUAACGCCGGCUUCGUUACGCUCAUAUGUAUGCUUGUGCCGCAUCUAUCUGAUCGGCCUAUGCAUCCGAGGAGAUGUUUUGUUAUGACGGUUGUCACGUUUAACUAUCGUCUGUUAACCAACUUUGCAGACAACCAAGUUUUUUAAUAAACAAUUUUGUCAAGACUGUACAUUCGUGUUUUAUUUAAAAGGACCGCACUUUUUUUUUUUUUGAUAUCGCAGGGUAACCCAUUUACGGGUGAUAUCCAAGAUGCCCGGGUAGGCAUUCCUAGACCGUAUGUCGGCUUAGCAUUUGGGGGUGCACUACCGACCAAAACCCCUGCGGGAGCCUUCAGCCGCUUUAAUUGGAGGGUCCCGGAUCUGCAGGCAACAGGAUCCCUCCAGCGACAGGCUGGCCUCGGCGAAAAGACCAGACUUCUCCAUGGGACUGUCCGGCUCAC
RNAcentral lists this unclassified non-coding RNA (3060 nucleotides) under Melitaea cinxia (Glanville fritillary). RNAcentral's name for it is "misc RNA ENSMCXG00005002073.1". The record is from RNAcentral. Lineage: Eukaryota; Metazoa; Arthropoda; Insecta; Lepidoptera; Nymphalidae.